UGCCUCCUUAGCUCAGCUGGCAGAGCAGCGGACUCUUAAUCCGUGGGUCACAGGUUCGAUCCCUGUAGGGGGCAUAUA
RNAcentral lists this transfer RNA (78 nucleotides) under Streptococcus pneumoniae JJA. RNAcentral describes it as "tRNA-Lys". It matches the Rfam family "tRNA". From Rfam's summary of the family: Transfer RNA (tRNA) molecules are approximately 80 nucleotides in length. The record is from RNAcentral. RNAcentral also lists the same sequence under 1 other name. Lineage: Bacteria; Bacillati; Bacillota; Bacilli; Lactobacillales; Streptococcaceae.